UUGCAGGAUGUGGAACUUGAGCUUCGAAAUUCUUCAGAGUGAAUGAUGUAUUGAUGCAACCCUUUGGAUGCAAUUCUCAUCAAGGGUAAGAAAAGGAAGGACACUGAAUGAAUUUAAACAGGAGACCUAGGAGAACAGGGCACAAAAAAAGAAAGAAAAUUCAUAAGAUAGCGUAGAGGUUAAGGAGCAGACUGGCGAGUCAAAUGUUACUGAAGCUGUGGAGAUGGAGAACACAUGCAUUGUUCCUGACAGAGAAGACUUCCCGGUGGAUGUGAAUGCUAUGUUUUUUUAUCAUCAAGUCAUACAGUGAAGACGAUGUGCACAAGAGCAUCAAAUAUAAUGUUUGGGCUAGCACACCAAAUGGAAACAAGAAGCUUGCUGCGGCAUUCCAGGACCUCGAGGUCAACUCAAGUGGAUAAUUUGUUGGGAACUGAUAGGACAGUUGAUUUCGACACAAAUGUGGAGUACUGGCAGCAAGACAAGUAGACAGGCUGUUUCCCUCUCAAGUGGCAUAUUGAGAAGGAUGUUGCAAACAGUUUGCUGAAACCUAUUACCCUUGAGAACAAUGAAAUCAAGGCUGUUACCAACUCUAGAGACACCCAAGAGUUGGAGCAAGUUUUGAAGUUUGUGAAAAUUAUUAAGAAGCAUACGAGCAAGAAUUGCAUAUUGGAUGGCUUUUGAAGAAAGCCAAGCAACAGCCAACCCAUAAACAGCUAAGUGAGGAGAAUAGUACAGAGGAUGAGAAAAGAAAUCUGCCACUGCUGAUCCGGCUCAUAAGGAAUCUCUUACAGCUGCUCAAACUACCGGUGAUGUCAAGGUUGAUGAGAAUGGAUCUGUUUCUAAACUAGUUGAUGUGGUGGCAAAUGGUUGCUAGAAAUAUUUGUGGGUGCUGUUCACGGCUUGAGCAUAAACACAACGAGAGAGAAGGUUUCUCUUGAGGCCUGAGCAUAAACGCAACGAGAGAGAAGGUCUCUUGAGAAUGAGUGCCGUGAGCUUUGAAGCAAGGAGGAGCUUUGGUACCUAAGACCAAGAACUGUUUCUUUUCCCUUAGAAAUUAAAUCAUAUUUUUCACAUCUUUUUUUGUGUUUUGGUUUUCAAUUGUCUUUACAAUUUUCUGUUUUUUUAAUGGCUUUUUCAUUUUCUGUUGAUGCUACUACUACCCUGUAAAAUUGCUUAAUAUGACCUACUAAAUAGUGGGAAGUAUAGAGAAAAAGGAGAUAAAAGCAGGGUGGAUUUGUUUUCAUUUCUGUUGGAUUUUAGGCA
Long non-coding RNA from Raphanus sativus (radish), 1263 nucleotides. RefSeq lists it as uncharacterized. Lineage: Eukaryota; Viridiplantae; Streptophyta; Magnoliopsida; Brassicales; Brassicaceae. The record is from RefSeq and is a predicted model, not a curated record. The transcript has 5 exons.